CGAGCACGCGCGUGUGGCAUAUCAAUAAGCGGAGGAAAAGUCAAUACCUACGCUUAGGAUGUUGAAGAUGUAGGCACAUCAUACACGCAUGACACACUGCAUAUCAAUAAGCGGAGGAAAAGAAACUGACAAGGAUUCCCCUAGUAACGGCGAGUGAAGCGGGAAGAGCUCAAAUUUGAAAUCUUCAAGGGUUUCCCUUUACGAAUUGUAGUUUAAAGAAGUGUUUUCUGUUAGAGAGGUGGUAAAAGUUCUUUGGAAUAGGACAUCAUAGAGGGUGAGAAUCCCGUAUUUGAUCACUUCCUCCUAACGUUGUGAUACACUUUCAACGAGUCGGAUUGUUUGGGAAUGCAGUCCAAAAUGGGUGGUAAAUUUCAUCUAAAGCUAAAUAUUGGCGAGAGACCGAUAGCGAACAAGUACCGUGAGGGAAAGAUGAAAAGAACUUUGAAAAGAGAGUUAAACAGUACGUGAAAUUGUCAAAAGGGAAGCGUUUGACACCAGUGUUGUUUUUCCGAAAAUCAAUUACGAAUGUUUUGUUUUUGAGGAGUUAUGACUUCAUCGGCUUGCUCCUCUCUUUACGAAACUUUCUUAAUGCACUUUUCGGUUAACAAGUCAACAUCAAUUUCUUUUGUUGUAAAAGGGUAUGAGGAAGGUGGCUUUCUUUUCGGAGAAAGUGUUUAUAGCCUUGUGCCUCUGCAAUCGGAGAGAUUGAGGUCUGCAGCGUAGAUCCUUCGGGGUUAGAUACAUUUGUGCUAAGUUAUAGCUUUUCAUAGACAACUUGUUGACUAUGUUAAGUCUUGUAGCUUACUCGCUUAUGCUAUUUUACCUACGCUUAGGAUGUUGAAGAUGUAGCACAUCAU
RNAcentral lists this ribosomal RNA (857 nucleotides) under uncultured Neocallimastigales. Its description in RNAcentral is "partial large subunit ribosomal RNA". It matches the Rfam family "Eukaryotic large subunit ribosomal RNA", at positions 1 to 643 of the family's 3401-position model. Lineage: Eukaryota; Fungi; Neocallimastigomycota; Neocallimastigomycetes; Neocallimastigales. The record is from RNAcentral.